RNAcentral lists this ribosomal RNA (254 nucleotides) under uncultured bacterium. Its description in RNAcentral is "partial 16S ribosomal RNA". It matches the Rfam family "Bacterial small subunit ribosomal RNA", at positions 524 to 776 of the family's 1533-position model. The record is from RNAcentral.
UACGUAGGGUGCAAGCGUUGUCCGGAAUUAUUGGGCGUAAAGAGCUCGUAGGCGGUCUGUCGCGUCGAAUGUGAAAAUCCGGGGCUCAACCCCGGACCUGCAUUCGAUACGGGCAGACUAGGGUUCGGUAGGGGAGUCUGGAAUUCCUGGUGUAGCGGUGAAAUGCGCAGAUAAUCAGGAGGAACACCGAUGGCGAAGGCAGGUCUCUGGGCAUUAACUGACGCUGAGGAGCGAAAGCAUGGGGAGCGAACAGG